Molecule: long non-coding RNA, 3617 nt
Organism: Homo sapiens (human)
Lineage: Eukaryota; Metazoa; Chordata; Mammalia; Primates; Hominidae
Gene: NXF4
Product: nuclear RNA export factor 4 (pseudogene)
Source: Ensembl
AUGACAUUGUGGACUCCCUCAGUGUGUUGUCCAAAACUCAGCAUGACCUCAGCUCCUUCCUGGUGGACAUGUGUUACCAGAAGGCAAGCACCUGCUUACUCCCUUGGACAGGCCCUGAGAGCCAGAGGUGGGUAGGAGGUUAAGGGGGAUCCUGAGCACUGGAGCUCUUCCCUUUCAGAAAUGGAUGCUCUACUUUUCUGUCUACGGUGUGUUGAAAGAAGAACACAGUGAUGGUAGCAGCUCUCCUCAAGGAGAAAAUAAAGGUGGAGAUUCUUCCCAGGGGAAUUUUGGAAAGGAGAACCUUCAUGAUGAACAUGAUGGCAACCCCUCUACCUUACAACCCGAUAGUAGGAGUGUGAAAUGCCAUAGUGAAUACCAAGAUAGAAUUCCUCCAGAGAGAGAAGUGGAGAAGAACACACAGAAUGGAGACCCAGGGACCUGGUUCAAGGUCACAAUUCCUUAUGGGAUAAAGUAUGAUAAGAGUUGGAUAGUGAAUUCAAUCCAGAGCCAUUGCAGUGUCCCCUUCACUCCAGUCGCUUUCCACUACAACAAAAAUCGGGCCCAUUUCUUUAUUCAGGAUGCUAGUGCUGCCUGUGCAUUAAAGAAAGUCAACUGCAAGAUUCAUGAUGAGGAAAACCAAAAGGUAUUUGUUUUUGUCAAUCUUUCUACUAAACCCCAGUCUAUCCAGAAAAUGUUGAAACCAAAAGAGAUGGCAUAGCUAAAGCUGACCCUGAACAAAUGAUAUGAUGUCUCCCAGCAAGCUCUUGAUCUCCAGAGGCUCCGCUUUGACCCAGGUAUGGCUGACAGCAGCAAUUCUAGGGCAAGUAGGGGCAGAGCAGUCUGCCUGGAAAGGAGACUUAUAUGGACGGCAACUUUGGGAGGGUUGGUGCUGGUGCUGGUCCAGUCAGGCCCCUUACAGCCUUCUGAUGCCCUUCUCUCGGCUUCCUGGAGACUUGGUGAAACAUCAUAUUGAUAUAAUCCUGAAUCAAAGAAACUACAUGGCUGCCACUCUGAAGAUCAUUGAAAGGAAUUUCCCUGAGCUAUUAUCUUUGAACUUGUGCGACAACAAACUGUACCACCUGGAUGGCCUGCCUGACAUUAUAGAGAAGGCUCCCAAAGUCAAGACCCUGAAUCUCUCCAAAAAUAAGCUGAAGUCGGCUUGGGAGUUGGGCAAGGUGAAAGGGUUGAAGCUCGAAGAGCUAUGGCUGGAAGGGAACUCAUUGUGCAGCACCUUCUCUGACCAGUCCGCCUAUGUAAGUAUCAUCCGGGAAUAUUUCCCCAAGUUGUUAUGCCUGGAUGGCCAGGAGUUAGCAUCUCCAAUUAUAAUUGGCAUUGAAGCCCCUGAGAUAAUAAAACCUUGUAAGGAAAGCUAUAAAGGAUCUGAGACCAUAAAGAGUCUGGUGCUUCAGUUCCUGCUUCAGUAUUACUUGAUCUAUGACUCUGAAGAUCGAACGGGUCUCCUCAGUGUUUACCAUGACAAGGCCUGCUUCUCCCUGACCAUUACCCUCAACCCUGAGGACCCAGAACCGAGCAGCUUGGAAAAAUACUUCAAGGAUAGCAGGAAUAUAAAGAAUAUCAAGGACCCUUGCCUGAGGAUUCAGCUGCUGAAGCACACAAAACGUGAGAUUGUGGACUCCCUCAGUGUAUUGCCCAGAACUCAGCAUGACCUUAACUCCUAUGUGGUAGACUUGUGCAUCCAAACGGUGAGCACCUGCUUCCUCCCUCAGUCAGGCCCAGAGAGCUGAAGUAGGUAGGAAGUAGGUAGGUGGGUAGGAGGAUCAUGAAGGCUCUAGUUUUUUCUUCUUCCCUUUCAGGAAAGGAUGCUCGUCUUUUCUGUCAAUGGAGUAUUUAAGGAAGGUGAGUGUCUAUAGAUUCUUCUCUCCAGAUCACUCAUUACUCCCUUCCCCAGGCUGGGCUUACUCCAAGAACUCUCUCAGCUUCCCAAGUUGCUCUUCUCCCCUUCCCUUGCAUUCUUCCUCUCCGUUUGUGUUCUUCCUCUCCUGGCAACUUUCUGUUAUCUUUGUGUUCUUUCCUUUUUGUUCCCUUCCCUUUGUGUUCUUCCUCUCCCCCAAUUUUGUUCCCAAACAUCAUUACUUCCUGACCUACAUCCAUGCCUGUCUGCACCUGCACCACUCAGGCGUUAGGGACACAGCCUGUAGAGUUUGAUGGCUCUCAUCCCAGGUUGUUACUUUGCGAACUUGGGACAUUGUCCUGUUACCUAACCCCUCAGUUUCCUCAUUUGCAAAAUGGGGUUGGUAAGCUCAUCUCUUGGGUGACUGUGUAAAAUGAAUCAAGCGAACUCAUGUUUGUCAAGAGACCUGACACAUGUUAGGGGGUUCUAUCCCUGGGUGCCGCUUGUUCCUAUUUUUGCCCUCUCAGUCCCUGAAACUCCCUCCUGACUCUCACUGAAAAGUUGUCCCAGCCUGGCUCCCUUCAGGGUGCCAAAAGAUUAUCUCCCUGACUGGAGAACCCUGUAUGAAUGUGUAAAGCAUGUGCAACUGUAAGGAGGUAUCAUUGUUUGUUGUUUCUAAAGUGGAAAGAGAGUCUCCAGGUUCUGUUCUUGCCUUCACCCGAACCUUCAUCUUGACUUCUGUCGGCAAUUCCAAGUAAGUGCUGUGCUGUGGGUGGGAGCACCCAUCCUGUCCUGGAGCCAAUGGUGUGGUAAUGUGGUGGUGCAGUCCUCGGGAUGUUCUCAGUACCAUAGAAAGCCAACUGGUAGAUCCAAGGAGAGGUCUAGAUUAUGAGAAUACCAGAUUCUCUUUUUGGCCACAAUACUUACUAAUUAGCUGUGUAUCUUUUUGUCCAGUUGUAAGAUUUCUCUGUGAAACAGUCCUUUUCUGAAAAUGGGAUGUCUACUUCUUUUGUAAAGUGUAAAUGCAUUGGGGUUAAAUCUACAAAUCUAAGGAAACUGGUAGGCAAUCUCUCCAAAGGUGGACUCUGCAGCAGGGGUAAAGCCUACCAGCCAAGGAAUCCGAAAGGUGGGCAGAGCAGGGGCUUGGAAGGAAUCUGGUUCCUCAGUGGCAGUGGAAGCAGGAUCAUUGUUGAAAGUGUGGGGUUGUCCAUUUUUCCAGUUGUCUGAGAGCUUGUCUUUCCUUCAGUCUGUAUAUUGUGAAUGACAAGCUGAUUGUGAGGAAUGCCAGCACGAAGGAGACCCAGAGUGCCUUCUCCAUCCCAGUGCCUGCACCCUCCUCCAGCUCCUUGCCUACCCUCUCCCAGAAGCAGCAGGAAAUGGUGGAGACUGUCUCCACCCAGUCUGGGAUGAAACUUGAGCAGUCUCAGAAGUGCCUUCAGGACAGUGAGUAGAACUACACCAAAGCUGACCAGGUUUUCACUAUUCUCCAGACCGAAGGCAAGAUCUCAGUGGAGGCCUUCAAGCAAAUCCCCUAAAAGGAGCCCUUCGAUGUCUUCUUUGUCUUCAUUCACAUCCUCUUUGUUUCCUCUUUUUACCAGCCUAAGGCCGUGCCCAGGACUGGGGUUGGCAGCCUGGCUCACCGGAAAGCCAAAGUUAACUUGCAGGCCGGGUAACAUAACCACUUGAAGAACCAGUUGUUCUGUGUAUUCGCCCCACUCAUGAUCACCAUUUAUUUUCAUAAUAAAGAGUGAUGUUACAUGUUGUA